GGGAGAGAGGGGCGGGCACUGGCUCCGGACCCGAAACUCCGCUCUCAGCAAAAAGCGGCUCCCGGGAACUGGAAGCCUGGCGAGCCAGCAAGUCGGAGGAAAGGGUGAAGAAGAGCAAACCUGCUCCCCGAACGACGCUUCCUUGGAAAUGAUAUGCAUGUACAAACACGUGCACACACAUGCGUGCACACCCAUAAGCAAACAUACAUACUUCCCAUUGGCCAGAACUUAAUCACAUGGGCACACCCAAGAGCAAAGAAGGCUGGGAAAUGUAGCCUGUGCCAAGUGACCACACACCCAGCUACAAACGGUCACCAGUUUCAAGAUUUGUACAUCCUGGUGUCACGGUGAAAAGCCUAUUGGUGGCAAGCACAUAAGGCACGUGGGAUGGCCAGGGGCCUCCAGCACAGGAAGGCCCCGAGUGAAAGCCUAGCAGAGUUAAGCGACUGUACGACAUGCUGAAAGGGAUCAGUGAUUUCUCCUGCAGCCAGUUCCAACCUGCUGAAAGGAACACUGAGAAAAUAUAUGGACUCAGUAAACCUGAGCUGCCUCCAAUGGCCUCACUCACUCCAACCCUCAACUUUGCAAUGCUGGAAUGCUGAGAUUAUCGUCCACAAGGAGCAGAAGCUUUCAUAGAGGAACCCAUCGACGUGGCUCCUGCCAAAGUCCUCAACAGGGCUUCGAAACACAGCAAGCAUAAUUUUUUAAAUGUUUUUAUAUCAAUGAAAAUUUUAAAAUUAUAAAAUAAUCUGCCAUAGAGGACACACAGACCGUCUACAUGGCAUCCGUUUCGCUACAUCUUCCUUCCCAAGGCCCCAACUUUGUCCAGGUGUCCACCCCACUCCACAAGCCGGGGAAGCUGGCCCCUGCCUGGCCAGCAGGUGGACCUGAUUCUAACACAUCCCC
Molecule: long non-coding RNA, 906 nt
Organism: Homo sapiens (human)
Lineage: Eukaryota; Metazoa; Chordata; Mammalia; Primates; Hominidae
Exons: 5
Source: RefSeq, a predicted model, not a curated record